AACGAACGCUGGCGGCAUGCCUAACACAUGCAAGUCGAACGAGACCUUCGGGUCUAGUGGCGCACGGGUGCGUAACGCGUGGGAAUCUGCCCUUGGGUUCGGAAUAACAGCUAGAAAUGGCUGCUAAUACCGAAUAAUGACGUAAGUCCAAAGAUUUAUCGCCCAAGGAUGAGCCCGCGUAGGAUUAGCUAGUUGGUGAGGUAAAAGCUCACCAAGGCGACGAUCCUUAGCUGGUCUGAGAGGAUGAUCAGCCACACUGGGACUGAGACACGGCCCAGACUCCUACGGGAGGCAGCAGUGGGAAUAUUGGACAAUGGGCGAAAGCCUGAUCCAGCAAUGCCGCGUGAGUGAUGAAGGCCUUAGGGUUGUAAAGCUCUUUUACCCGGGAUGAUAAUGACAGUACCGGGAGAAUAAGCUCCGGCUAACUCCGUGCCAGCAGCCGCGGUAAUACGGAGGGAGCUAGCGUUGUUCGGAAUUACUGGGCGUAAAGCGCACGUAGGCGGCUUUGCAAGUUAGAGGUGAAAGCCUGGGGCUCAACCCCAGAAUUGCCUUUAAGACUGCAUCGCUAGAAUCCAGGAGAGGUGAGUGGAAUUCCGAGUGUAGAGGUGAAAUUCGUAGAUAUUCGGAAGAACACCAGUGGCGAAGGCGGCUCACUGGACUGGUAUUGACGCUGAGGUGCGAAAGCGUGGGGAGCAAACAGG
Molecule: ribosomal RNA, 701 nt
Filed under: uncultured Sphingomonadaceae bacterium
Lineage: Bacteria; Pseudomonadati; Pseudomonadota; Alphaproteobacteria; Sphingomonadales; Sphingomonadaceae
Description: bacterial SSU rRNA
Rfam family: Bacterial small subunit ribosomal RNA
Source: RNAcentral